GACAGAGGGUGCAAACGUUGUUCGGAAUUACUGGGCGUAAAGCGCGUGUAGGCUGUUCUGCAAGUCGGGUGUGAAAGCCCCGGGCUCAACCUGGGAAGUGCACUCGAAACUGCGGAACUCGAGUCCUGGAGAGGAAGGCGGAAUUCUCGGUGUAGAGGUGAAAUUCGUAGAUAUCGAGAGGAACACCGGUGGCGAAGGCGGCCUUCUGGACAGUGACUGACGCUGAGACGCGAAAGCGUGGGGAGCAAACAGG
Molecule: ribosomal RNA, 253 nt
Filed under: uncultured bacterium
Lineage: Bacteria
Description: partial 16S ribosomal RNA
Rfam family: Bacterial small subunit ribosomal RNA
Source: RNAcentral